This is a long non-coding RNA of Zonotrichia albicollis (white-throated sparrow), 391 nucleotides long. RefSeq lists it as uncharacterized. The record is from RefSeq and is a predicted model, not a curated record. Lineage: Eukaryota; Metazoa; Chordata; Aves; Passeriformes; Passerellidae.
GUUUGGUGGGAAGUCACUGAUAAGCAGAUUUGAAACUAAUUCAGCCAACUUAUCUACCUGACGGUGACCACAUCAAGAUUCUGCUUCUCUCCAGGAACACCAUGCGGACAAUGACAAACAUUUACUGUGGGAAACAUCUCAACAAGAUUUCAAUCGCUCACUUUGUGCCUUGGAAGCUUGGAACCAGUGUGACUAACCGUGGGUUCUUUAAUUUACAUUGAUGCAGUAGAAAAAGGUCUCACUGCUGUUACUGAAAGCUUGAUUGCGUCUCUAUGUCCAGUCAUUACAGACAAAUUGAUGAAGUCACAGUUUACAGUAGUAGCCAGGAUUCAUGACAAACUUUUUAAAGUGCUUGAUAAAUUGAUGUAUAUAAUCAUACACAACAGAAUGC